CAAUAGAUGUUACAAACGAAAUAUCAGAUGCAAAGUGUUCAAGAUCAACCAAUGGGGCAAAUCAUCCAGAGGGAAAGGGGAGAAAGAAUCACCUGUUUCCUCCCAAUUAUGUCUCAUUUGUUCUGUUGUUCAAGUUUCUGAUGAAGGCCUUGCUAAUCAUUCUGGGAUUUGGAAUUUGGGGUAUAAGAAAAAUCCAAGAAAAGAAAGAGAGACAUAUAUGGGCAAAUCAGGUCAUGAAUGAAUUGGUUGAUCGUGCUUCUUUAUACAAAUAUCGAAAUACUGGGCAAAAUCCCCAAGAAACUCAACCCAGCAAAGAUAAAGAAGAAUAUGAAGUGCCUAAUCCUACAAUGCCAGAGCAAGCUUC
Long non-coding RNA from Rosa chinensis, 364 nucleotides. RefSeq lists it as uncharacterized. Lineage: Eukaryota; Viridiplantae; Streptophyta; Magnoliopsida; Rosales; Rosaceae. The record is from RefSeq and is a predicted model, not a curated record. The transcript has 3 exons.